This 606-nucleotide ribosomal RNA is filed under the name Anopheles gambiae str. PEST. RNAcentral describes it as "SSU rRNA". It matches the Rfam family "Eukaryotic small subunit ribosomal RNA", at positions 21 to 606 of the family's 1831-position model. The record is from RNAcentral. Lineage: Eukaryota; Metazoa; Arthropoda; Insecta; Diptera; Culicidae.
UGAUAUACGCUCGUCUCAAAGGUUAAGCCAUGCAUGUCUAAGUACAAGCUUCCUAGAAAGUGAAACCGCAUAAGGCUCAGUAUAACAGCUAUAAUUUACAAGAUCCUCAUCCAAACAGUUACUUGGAUAACUGUGGAAAAGCCAGAGCUAAUACAUGCAUUAUGCCGGGACUGUUGGCCUCCGGGUCGGCGGAACUGGUGCACUUAUUAGUUAAACCAAUCGCCUCCGGGCGCUUUGAGUUGAAAUCUGGAUAAGGAUGCCGAUCGUACGGUCGCUUGCGUACUGACGACAGAUCUUUCAAAUGUCUGCCCUAUCAACUAUUGAUGGUAGUGUAGAGGACUACCAUGGUUGCGACGGGUAACGGGGAAUCAGGGUUCGAUUCCGGAGAGGGAGCCUGAGAAAUGGCUACCACAUCCAAGGAAGGCAGCAGGCGCGUAAAUUACCCAAUCCCGGCACGGAGGUAGUGACGAGAAAUAACAAUAUGGACCUCUCUAACGAUGGUCCAUAAUUGGAAUGAGUUGAGCAUAAAUCCUUUUGCAAGGAUCAAGUGGAGGGCAAGUCUGGUGCCAGCAGCCGCGGUAAUUCCAGCUCCACUAGCGUAUAUUA